Molecule: long non-coding RNA, 169 nt
Organism: Pseudoliparis swirei
Lineage: Eukaryota; Metazoa; Chordata; Actinopteri; Perciformes; Liparidae
Exons: 3
Source: RefSeq, a predicted model, not a curated record
AUUGCAAAUGAUGUACUCAUCCAACAACACAUUGUUGGAUGACUUGAAGACUUCAGAGAUGAUCAACAGGCUGAAGAACAUCCUGCCUGUAACGGGCAAAGAGCUAGAACAGCAGAUGUACCUGGAAGAUGUAAUUCUGCCAGAGGUAACAAUUCAGUGGCUGAGAAAA